UUACCUCAAAUUUGUAUGGAGUCGGAACGUUUGCCUACGUUUGCCGCUAGGGGCGCUGUUCCAACUGCACACAAAUUUUACGCUA
Non-coding RNA from Bombyx mori (domestic silkworm), 85 nucleotides. The record is from Rfam. Lineage: Eukaryota; Metazoa; Arthropoda; Insecta; Lepidoptera; Bombycidae.